Molecule: ribosomal RNA, 253 nt
Filed under: uncultured bacterium
Lineage: Bacteria
Description: partial 16S ribosomal RNA
Rfam family: Bacterial small subunit ribosomal RNA
Source: RNAcentral
GACGAACCGUGCGAACGUUGUUCGGAAUCACUGGGCUUAAAGGGCGCGUAGGCGGGCUGUCAAGUCUGGGGUGAAAUGCCGCGGCUCAACCGUGGAACUGCCUCAGAUACUGACGGCCUCGAGGAGGGUAGGGGCAUGCGGAACUGUAGGUGGAGCGGUGAAAUGCGUUGAUAUCUACAGGAACUCCGGUGGCGAAAGCGGCGUGCUGGACCUUUUCUGACGCUGAGGCGCGAAAGCUAGGGGAGCAAACGGG